This 1304-nucleotide long non-coding RNA is filed under the name Pogona vitticeps (central bearded dragon). Its description in RNAcentral is "lncRNA (ENSPVIG00000000858.1)". Lineage: Eukaryota; Metazoa; Chordata; Lepidosauria; Squamata; Agamidae. The record is from RNAcentral.
CCAAGAAAUGAUAUGCAAUCUCUACUGGACCAGGAAGUAAUUACUUUCCGGUUUAAUUGAACUCUUUAGUUCUUCUCUUCCUUAUUUGAUCUGAUUUGACUUUCUUAUUUUAUGGCUACAUUAAGCUAUUAGCUGCUAAAGUUUCUUCUUCUUUCUUCUUCUUCUUCUUCUUCUUCUUCUUCUCUCUCCAAUUCCAGCUGCAGAAGUCUUGCUUGAUGAGAGAUUAGUGGAUUUCUAUCGAAGUUUGGGAUCAGGAUGUGAUGUUUCUACUUCCCCCGUGUUGCUUCAAUUAAAACAGUUCCUUCUUCUCCAAGCCUGCAUCACAUGUCACUCUUGGAUUCCAAAGAAAAAGAAGAACAUGGGUAUAAGGAGGCAUUUGAAGUGUCAGGUUUCAGCACACUAGAUGGAGAUAUGAAUGUACUUACUUAUUUCAUACCCUCCCCUUUUCCUGUGUUCUGUAAGCCAAACAAAAAACAGAAUCCUAUUAGUUACACCCAAUGGUAUAACACAAUUGGAGUAAAUCUCAGCUGUGAGUUGCUGGGAAUGAAGACAUUAGUUUGGGCAUCUGGUGUUGUAUACCACUUGUGUGACUCAGUGCACAACAGCAUAUGCCUAUCUUGACUCUUUAUCUUGCAGCAGUUUGCAGCUAAAAUUCACACCAGUGGAGUUAUGCUGACAUUGCUUUUCAACUGGACUCCAGAUGUACAGUAUGCAACUAAGAGCAUGACCAUAUUGACAAAAAAUGUGGGAAAUGUUGCAGGAUCGGGACAGUCUCAUUCACAUCCCCCCCCCCCAUUGUGACUUUUCAACUGGGUUCCAGACAUACGCAACUAAAAAAUGUAGGAAAUGUUGCAGGAUUGGGACAAUCUCAUUCACAUCCCCCCCCCCAUUGUGACCCUAUGAUGUAAAAGCCAAUGUGAAUCAGCCUAGAGUCCCCCCUGCUUCAAUUCAUAGCUUGAACUGAUGGCAAUCAAUGUGAUCCUCCAUGUUUCCCUCUGGAAAAAAUAUGCCUUAAAAAAACAGUUUGAUGCCAGUGUUGCUAGGGCAGCAAGAAAGGGGGGAAAAAAGAAGAAGAGCGAGAAGAGGAAACAAGAUAAGGAAACUGCCACUCUGCCCUUGCUUACAUCCUAUUAAAUAGAUGUUCUGUAGCUGCACCUUCUGCAGAACUAUAGGAGAGCUCUGUUAAACUGCAAACAAGUCUUUUUAGCCAAUUUCCUCCUCUCCCUAGGUGAUCAGUGGACCCAGGAAAACCUGAAUAUCCAGUGUGACAUCACAGCAAAUAAAUUUGAAUUUCUUUCUCUGCA